RNAcentral lists this ribosomal RNA (274 nucleotides) under uncultured bacterium. RNAcentral describes it as "partial 16S ribosomal RNA". It matches the Rfam family "Archaeal small subunit ribosomal RNA", at positions 473 to 747 of the family's 1478-position model. The record is from RNAcentral.
AAACCAGCACCUCAAGUGGUCAGGAGGAUUAUUGGGCCUAAAGCAUCCGUAGCCUGUUCUAUAAGUUUCCGGUUAAAUCCAUUAGCUCAACUAAUGGGCCGCCGAAAAUACUGUGGGACUAGGGAGUGGGAGAGGUAGACGGUACUCGGUAGGAAGGGGUAAAAUCCUUUGAUCUAUUGAUGACCACCUGUGGCGAAGGCGGUCUACCAGAACACGUUCGACGGUGAGGGAUGAAAGCUGGGGGAGCAAACCGGAUUAGAAACCCCAGUAGUCC